This 484-nucleotide ribosomal RNA is filed under the name uncultured bacterium. Its description in RNAcentral is "partial 16S ribosomal RNA". It matches the Rfam family "Bacterial small subunit ribosomal RNA", at positions 30 to 507 of the family's 1533-position model. The record is from RNAcentral.
AUUGAACGCUGGCGGCAGGCCUAACACAUGCAAGUCGAGCGGAAGAAGGGUGCUUGCUCCUGGAUUCAGCGUCGGACGGGUGUGUAUUGCACAGGAAUCUGCCUGGUAUUGGGGUAUAACGUCCGGAAACGGGCGCUAAUACUGCAUACGUCCUGAGGGAGAAACUGGGGGAUCUUCGGACCUUACGCUCUCAGAUGAGUCUAGGUCGGAUUAGCUAGUUGGUGGGUUAAAGGGCUACCCAGGCGACGAUCCGUAACUGGACUGAGAGGAUGGUUAGUCAACCUAGAAGUGGUACAGCAUCCAGAGUCCUACAGGAGGCAGCAGUCUAGAAUAAUAGGCAAUGGAGGGAAGCCUUAUCCAGCCAAGCCGCGGGUGUGAAGAAAAUCUACGGAUUGUAAAGCGCGUUAAGUUGGGAGAAAGAGCAGUAAGUUAAUACCUUGCUGGUUUGACGUUAACUACAGAAUAAGCACCGGCUAACUUCGUG